GGGGUGACCGCGUGCUUUUUGCAUAAUGAGCUCGGGAGUUAGCCUCUGUGGCGAGCCUAAGGCCUAACGGGCCGGAGGCGGAGCGAAAGCGAGUCUGAAUAGGGCGCUUUAGUCACGGGCGGCAGACGCGAAACUUGGUGAGCUACCCAUGGUCAGGUUGAAGAUCCGGUAACACGGAUUGGAGGACCGAACCGGUAAACGUUGAAAAGUUUUCGGAUGAACUGUGGGUAGGGGUGAAAGGCCUAUCAAACUGAGAGAUAGCUCGUACUCUCCGAAAUGCCUUUAGGGGCAGCCUUGGGCCACUCUCUGCGGGAGGUAGAGCUACUGAUUGAGCUAGGGCGGGACCCCUCGCACCGAACUCAGACAAACUCCGAAUGCCCGUAGAAUUAUCCCAGGAGUGAGCCGCCGGGUGCUAAGGUCCGGUGGCAAGAGGGGAACAACCCAGAUCGACUGCUAAGGCCCCCAAGUGUUGGUUAAGUUAAGCUAACGAGGUGUGGGUGCACAGACAGCCAGGAUGUUAGCUU
This 524-nucleotide ribosomal RNA is filed under the name Isochrysis galbana. Its description in RNAcentral is "partial Bacterial large subunit ribosomal RNA". It matches the Rfam family "Bacterial large subunit ribosomal RNA", at positions 590 to 1107 of the family's 2925-position model. Lineage: Eukaryota; Haptophyta; Isochrysidales; Isochrysidaceae. The record is from RNAcentral.